UAAAAGGUGAAAGGUAGGCUAAUAAAAGGUGAAAGGGAGGCUAAUAUCUAGGCAGGCUAAUAAAAGGUGAAAGGUAGGUUAAUAUCUAGGUAGGCUAAUAAAAGGUGAAAGGUAGGCUAAUAUCUAGGUAGGCUAAUAAAAGGUGAAAGGUAGGCUAAUAUCUAGGUAGGCUAAUAAAAGGUGAAAGGUAGGUUAAUAUCUAGGUAGGCUAAUAAAAGGUGAAAGGUAGGCUAAUAUCUAGGUAGGCUAAUAAAAGGUGAAAGGUAGGUUAAUAAAAGGUGAAAGGUAGGCUAAUAAAAGGUGAAAGGUAGGCUAAUAUCUAGGUAGGCUAAUAAAAGGUGAAAGGUAGGUUAAUAUCUAGGUAGGCUAAUAAAAGGUGAAAGGUAGGUUAAUAAAAGUUGUAAGGUAGGCUAAUAAAAGGUGAAAGGUAGGCUAAUAUCUAGGUAGGCUAAUAAAAGGUGAAAGGUAGGUUAAUAUCUAGGUAGGCUAAUAAAAGGUGAAAGGUAGGUUAAUAUCUAGGUAGGCUAAUAAAAGGUGAAAGGUAAGCUAAUAUCUAGGUAGGCUAAUAAAAGGUGAAAGGUAGGUUAAUAUCUAGGUAGGCUAAUAAAAGGUGAAAGGUAAGCUAAUAUCUAGGUAGGCUAAUAAAAGGUGAAAGGUAGGUUAAUAUCUAGGUAGGCUAAUAAAAGGUGAAAGGUAGGCUAAUAUCUAGGUAGGCUAAUAAAAGGUGAAAGGUAGGUUAAUAUCUAGGUAGGCUAAUAAAAGGUGAAAGGUAAGCUAAUAUCUAGGUAGGCUAAUAAAAGGUGAAAGGUAGGUUAAUAUCUAGGUAGGCUAAUAAAAGGUGAAAGGUAAGCUAAUAUCUAGGUAGGCUAAUAAAAGGUGAAAGGUUCAGUUAGCAUCCAGGCGUUUAUGACCAGGUUGUAGAACGGUGGAUAGUUCAGGUCCUGCUCUGUUAUACCAGGGCAGCAGAUGAUUCAACAGAAUAACAUGGCCUGUAGGUGUUCUUUGGACAAUGGUGGUGGUGUUUUGUCAGGAGGAAUUCAGCUCUGCUUUAGUUUUGGUCAGAACUGAUAGCCUGGUCCCAGAUCUGUUUGUGCUAUAUAGUCGGCUCCUAUCUUCUCAUGGUCUCCUACGGUUCUACAGCAUAAACAAGUCUGGGUCCAGGCUAGGAGUUGUUCCUGGGACUGAGAAAAAGAAAGCCCCUAGAGCCAAGGAUACGGAACUGUCCUUGUUGAAGGAAUGUCACUGUUCUGGCUGUUCUUCUAAAGCAGAGCAUGUGGGCAGAGUUGAGCGGUCUGAAAUCCAGCUCCUCAUGGAGAGGUGCUUGUGCUCUUCACGUCCUUUCCACCCCCUCCUCUUAAAACCUCUCCUCGCUCACAGGAAAAUACUGCUGCUCCAAAUUCACUCCAUUCAUUACACUCACAAUUGAACUAUUUCUUCUGAAUGGUAGGUCCUAUUUCCCUGGACCUACCAUUCGGGUUUAAAGUAUUGAAACCAAACCAUAUGAUUUUAAUGAAAAUUAUUAUAAUGAAAAACAUGAAAAGGUGAAUGUAAGAAGCGCUCAUCAUUUCAAACAGGCCACAUGUCAUAUUAAACAGCAUAUAACCACUCUAAAUAGGUCAGGAGACAGACAGGGAGACGAAGAAAAAAAUAAAAAAUGAAUUAUUUAGGCUGUAUUAUUUCAAUUAUUUCAAGGCUACAGCUACAAAUAAAUACAUAGGGAAGCAUUUGGGAGUGUGACACACUAAGCUGUCAGGGACAUUAAACACUCAGCAUUUAAACAAUGUUUAGUUGUAUUCUAUACAUUACACAUAUAAACUGUGACUUACUAAUUAUUUACAAAUGAAAUAAAUGCCUUAUUGUGCUCCAUCUACAGUGCCUUUAAAUGUAUCUUUAGAAACAUGUGUUUGGCCAGAGUCUGUGGCUUCAGGCCCAUGUGAUGGUAUCUGGAGAGCAGGGCAGCAGUGGAGAACAUCCUCUCAGACCUGGCAGAGACACUGGGGAUGAUAACACCUUCGGGCUGCUCUUGCCAGGCCGGGCAGAGAUGCAGAGUUGUUUUUGUCAGUCGGCGUAAAGGAUUUUAGGUAAAAUAACCCUAUCAAAACAGAAAGCUUCUUGAAAGAGGUAAUGCCAGGCCUACUGGGCCUAAAUCAAUAAUGGCCUAUUUUAUAGAUAAUAGAAGGGAAAUGUUAUAGUUAACUACCCACCUCGUUCCUUUCUUUUUGCAUGAGCACGUAGUAAGUACACCAUCAUGCUUUCAGGAUGUCUUUUCAGAUUCCACAAUGACUCUUUAGUUGUGGACACUACAUCACCACACUCCCUCUCUUCUUUAGUUGUGGACACGACAUCACAACACUCCCUCUCUUCUUUAGUUGUGGACACUACUUCACCACACUCCCUCUCUUCUUUAGUUGUGGACACUACAUCACCACACUCCCUCUCUUCUUUAGUUGUGGACACUACAUCACCACACUCCCUCUCUUCUUUAGUUGUGGACACUACAUCACCACACUCCCUCUCUUCUUUAGUUGUGGACACUACAUCACCACACUCCCUCUCUUCUUUAGUUGUGGACACUACAUCACCACACUCCCUCUCUUCUUUAGUUGUGGACACUACUUCACCACACUCCCUCUCUUCUUUAGUUGUGGACACUACAUCACCACACUCCCUCUCUUCUUUAGUUGUGGACACUACAUCACCACACUCCCUCUCUUCUUUAGUUGUGGACACUACAUCACCACACUCCCUCUCUUCUUUAGUUGUGGACACUACAUCACCACACUCCCUCUCUUCUUUAGUUGUGGACACUACAUCACCACACUCCCUCUCUUCUUUAGUUGUGGACACUACAUCACCACACUCCCUCUCUUCUUUAGUUGUGGACACUACUUCACCACACUCCCUCUCUUCUUUAGUUGUGGACACUACAUCACCACACUCCCUCUCUUCUUUAGUUGUGGACACUACAUCACCACACUCCCUCUCUUCUUUAGUUGUGGACACUACAUCACCACACUCCCUCUCUUCUUUAGUUGUGGACACUACAUCACCACA
This is a long non-coding RNA of Oncorhynchus keta (chum salmon), 3054 nucleotides long. RefSeq lists it as uncharacterized. Lineage: Eukaryota; Metazoa; Chordata; Actinopteri; Salmoniformes; Salmonidae. The transcript is spliced from 4 exons. The record is from RefSeq and is a predicted model, not a curated record.